CCUUUGAUAACUUUAAACUAUUUUGGAUUUGUACCAAACUUGGACAGAAGCUGGUUUAUGAUCAGAUGCUAGUAUCGAGACGGAAAUUUUGUUCUGCUUUGUCUUUCUAACCAUUUUUGAUCUGAGCGUCACUGGUGAGUUUUAUGUAGACGAAAUGAGCGUCUGGCGUAUCAAACUAUAAGCCUGGUACCUUUGAUAAUUAUGAACUUCCAUUCAUCAAUUCACACGAAUCUAUCAAAAAAGCAAACUUCAAUUCAACCAUUAUUGAAUACAGUAACACAAGUAAUAUACAGUUUGAGAUGCAAUUCAGUUAUGUUGUACAUAAUUCGUGAAGCAGGUAUCGUCAUAGGGUAAGAGUUGCACAUAGUUCUAUAAUAGGUGCAAUAUCGUUCCGAC
This 396-nucleotide long non-coding RNA is filed under the name Mytilus galloprovincialis (Mediterranean mussel). Lineage: Eukaryota; Metazoa; Mollusca; Bivalvia; Mytilida; Mytilidae. The record is from RNAcentral.